RNAcentral lists this long non-coding RNA (401 nucleotides) under Mytilus galloprovincialis (Mediterranean mussel). Lineage: Eukaryota; Metazoa; Mollusca; Bivalvia; Mytilida; Mytilidae. The record is from RNAcentral.
AGUGGACCAUGAAAUUGGGGUCAAAACUAUAAUUUGGCAGUGAAAUUAGAAAGAUAAUAUCAUGGGGAACAUGUGUACUAAGUUUCAAGUUGAUUGGACUUCAACUUCUUCAAAAACUACCUUGACCAAAAACUUUAACCUGAAGCGGACAGACGAACGGACGGACGGACGAACGGAGGCACGGACCAGAAAACAUAAUGCCCUCUACAAUCGUAGGUGGGGCAUAAAAAUAAAAAAAAGGGGGGAAACGGUCUAUUAUGAAUUUAAAACUAGGAAUGAAAAACCUAUAUGAACCACACCAAUUAACGACAACCAUGUACUAUACACAUUAACCUCGAUGUCAGAAGAGGUAUCCAACGAAACUGAGCAAAAUGACAAUAAAACAUGAAUUAACAAAGGAC